GACGAACGCUGGCGGCGUGCUUAACACAUGCAAGUCGAACGGUAAGGCUCCAGCUUGCUGGGGUACACGAGUGGCGAACGGGUGAGUAACACGUGGGUGACCUGCCCUGCACUUCGGGAUAAGCCUGGGAAACUGGGUCUAAUACCGGAUAGGACCGCACCGUGAGGGUGUGGUGGAAAGUUUUUUCGGUGUGGGAUGGGCCCGCGGCCUAUCAGCUUGUUGGUGGGGUAAUGGCCUACCAAGGCGGCGACGGGUAGCCGGCCUGAGAGGGUGGACGGCCACAUUGGGACUGAGACACGGCCCAGACUCCUACGGGAGGCAGCAGUGGGGAAUAUUGCACAAUGGGCGGAAGCCUGAUGCAGCGACGCCGCAUGGGGGAUGACGGCCUUCGGGUUGUAAACUCCUUUCACCAUCGACGAAGGGUUUCUGACGGUAGAUGGAGAAGAAGCACCGGCUAACUACGUG
This 465-nucleotide ribosomal RNA is filed under the name uncultured bacterium. Its description in RNAcentral is "partial 16S ribosomal RNA". It matches the Rfam family "Bacterial small subunit ribosomal RNA", at positions 28 to 507 of the family's 1533-position model. The record is from RNAcentral.